Long non-coding RNA from Onychostoma macrolepis, 1093 nucleotides. RefSeq lists it as uncharacterized. The record is from RefSeq and is a predicted model, not a curated record. The transcript has 4 exons. Lineage: Eukaryota; Metazoa; Chordata; Actinopteri; Cypriniformes; Cyprinidae.
UGAAGCUUCAUCUCACCACCACUAGCUAUCAGCUUCAGAAUAGUCUGAGGAACAAACACUCCUGCAAACACUAUCUCCUCAACCACAUGCCUGUACUAGAUCUGGCAGCCAUUUUGUAGUCUAGGCCCAGCUCCUGGAAGGUACCAUUCUGCAGUGCCACAAUUCAGUCGCACCGACUUGCGUGCCUCUCGCAAGAGUGAUCACUAAAAGAUCAAGGUGGGCUGACUGCAUUCGGCGCUCGGGAGUACGACGAUUACAUUGAAGCUAAAAAAGAAAGGUGGUUUAUGGCGUUGUCCAGGCCUGCGCAAUUCUCCGCUGGGAGAGUGUAUUGGACCUAUACGUAUAGGAAAAGAUGAAACAAAGUUUCAGUCAAAUCGCCGUCAGACUGCCGUUAUAAACAUGAAUUCAAACCAAGAAGAACAAAGAGAAGCUGUUGGGGAUGUUUCCUUUUUUUCUGUGGAUAACUGUAAGUAUUUGGUGUUUGCAGUUAUAGUAUUAGUUAAAGUAUAUUACAGUUAUAGUUAAAGUUUUAGCACCAGCUUAUCAGAGUGCUGAAAAGUGGAAUUCAGAGGAAACAUGACCACCUGCUGCAAAACAAUAACACAAAAGGUACAUUAUUUACAUUAUUUUUAUAUACAUUAUUUUUCCUAACAGUACCAACUGAAACUCAUCAAUCAGCUAAUCUUAAAUAUAUAUGAUAUUUUUCUUUUUUUUUCUUUUUUUUCUAUUUUCCACCUUUUAUCAUGCAAGUUCUUAUGAUUGAUUGAUAAAUAUAUAAAUAUUUUGCACUGUCACUGCAGGUCUUGACUCUGGAGUGCAGCAUUACUUGUUUGGUCAUCUACAUUCAGAUGAAAACACCACACUUCUCUCUAAUUCAAGUAAGUUUUAAGAUUUGAUUUAAUUGUGAGAGAUUCUUUUCUUUUUCCUGUUGUACUGUACUCUCCACAGGUCUAAUAAAUGUUUCACAUCUUAGGAUAUCAAGCCUACUCAUCGCAAAGAGAGUUAGCAUCAAAAUGGAUGUGUCACUGACCAAUAACACAGAGAUGCCAGAAGUAUCUGUUUGCAGUCUACUUUUUGUUCAGUAUGGAGCAUC